CCUUAAUAAGUUUUUAACAUCAGCUUGUGGAGCUGAAUUAAUCUAAUUAUUUU
RNAcentral lists this transfer RNA (53 nucleotides) under Phyxioschema suthepium. RNAcentral describes it as "tRNA-His". Lineage: Eukaryota; Metazoa; Arthropoda; Arachnida; Araneae; Euagridae. The record is from RNAcentral.